AUUGAACGCUGGCGGCAUGCCUAACACAUGCAAGUCGAACGGCAGCACAAUAAAGAUUUCGGUCUUUAUGGGUGGCGGGUGGCGGACGGGUGAGUAACGCGUAGGAAUCUGUCCUGGAGAGUGGGAUAACCCGAGGAAACUCGGGCUAAUACUGCAUAACAUUGAGAGAUCAAAAGCAGGGGACCGAAAGGCCUUGCGCUCUGGGGUGCGCCUACGUCGGAUUAGCUAGUUGGUGGGGUAAAGGCCUACCAAGGCGACGAUCCGUAGCUGGUCUGAGAGGAUGACCAGCCACUCUGGGACUGAGACACGGCCCAGACUACUACGGGAGGCAGCAGUGGGGAAUCUUGGACAAUGGGGGAAACCCUGAUCCAGCGAUGCCGCGUGUGCGAAGAAGGCCUUCGGGUUGUAAAGCACUUUAGGUGGGGAAGAAAGGUAGCGAGUGAAUAACUUUCUGCUGUGACGGUACCCACAGAAUAAGCACCGGCUAACUCUGUGCCAGCCGCCGCCGUAA
Molecule: ribosomal RNA, 511 nt
Filed under: uncultured bacterium
Lineage: Bacteria
Description: partial 16S ribosomal RNA
Rfam family: Bacterial small subunit ribosomal RNA
Source: RNAcentral